RNAcentral lists this ribosomal RNA (115 nucleotides) under Escherichia coli. Lineage: Bacteria; Pseudomonadati; Pseudomonadota; Gammaproteobacteria; Enterobacterales; Enterobacteriaceae. The record is from RNAcentral.
CUUAACGUCUUAGCGCGGUGGUCCCACCUGACCCCAUGCCGAACUCAGAAGUGAAACGCCGUAGCGCCGAUGGUAGUGUGGGGUCUCCCCAUGCGAGAGUAGGGAACUGCCAGGC